RNAcentral lists this unclassified non-coding RNA (214 nucleotides) under uncultured Sebacinales. RNAcentral's name for it is "sequence contains ITS2". Lineage: Eukaryota; Fungi; Basidiomycota; Agaricomycetes; Sebacinales. The record is from RNAcentral.
UAACCUCACCCUCCGGACCUUUGCGGUCCGGGGACGUGGAUCUGGGCUCUGUCGUCCCUGCGACGACUGGCCUCAAAUGCCUGAGUGCACCUCGCUUCUGCGGCGUCUUCAGUGUGAUAAGUAUCUUCACUGGAACAAGCUCCCCUCGGGGACACGCUCGCCUUGUGGGCUCUGCGCUUGCGAACCGUCCGUCGACGCGGACAACUCUUUGACA